AUAGAAGGUGUUUGCAGUUGAAAGACACAGGUAGGGGCUACAAGAAGCAGAAACUGUUAUUGAUUGAUUAGUGUGUAGUUUGAAGUUGAUGCCAUGGGUCUAAUGUUACAGAAAUAACCCAUAACCCAUUGUCUGUGAAGUACGUGACAGAUACUUGGUGAUAACUAGGACCCUAUACGAAUACAUGCAGAGAGAAAGAGAAAGAGAAAGAGAAAGAGAUAGAGAUAGGGUUUGAUAUAUAGGUGGUGGUGAGUGAUGAAGUUCCAAUUCUGAAUUUUGAUUUUGGCUAUGUUUUUGGUGUGCUAACUAUGCAUUAGCUCUGCGCCGGCCUCCUACUGCUUCAUAAUUAAGACCCAAUUAACUUACCUUUAUAUUCACUUCAAUAAGUGAAAAGAAUUAUACAUACCACAUAUAUUUUGUUUUUUUUUAUAUAUAUAUAAAAAAAUAAUCUUUUUUAAAUUG
Molecule: long non-coding RNA, 462 nt
Filed under: Vigna radiata
Lineage: Eukaryota; Viridiplantae; Streptophyta; Magnoliopsida; Fabales; Fabaceae
Description: long non-coding RNA (VRAD_LNC000288)
Source: RNAcentral